Molecule: long non-coding RNA, 821 nt
Filed under: Brachypodium distachyon (stiff brome)
Lineage: Eukaryota; Viridiplantae; Streptophyta; Magnoliopsida; Poales; Poaceae
Description: long non-coding RNA (BDIS_LNC001074)
Source: RNAcentral
AUGGAGGCCUAAGCAUUGGUGGCGGACCAGGUGGCGGACCAGGAAGUACACCGUAGGGUGCCAUAGGCAUUUGAGCUGGAGGUAAUCCUGGAGGAGGAGGUGGAGGGGGCCUGGCAGAAACACCAGGAGCCAUAAAUGGUGGCCUUGAAUCUGGUGGUGGAGGAGGUGGAGGAAAUCUAGCCAUUCCUGGAGUUAGCAUUUCAGGUUGCAUUGGAGGCAUCAUCGGAGGUCUUGGAGGUAGAGGCAGCAUCUGUGAUGGAUGUGGUGGAGGAGGCGGUAAAACCCUUGAGAUUUUAGCAUCUUCGUUAACUACAGGAGCAUCCCUGGCAUUAUUAUCAGCAGCCUGCAUUUCAUUUGAUUUUGGUGGCAGCCUUGGGGGAGGUGGUGGUGGAGGUAGCACAACUGGGGCCUGUGAAAUAAACUUCCUUCAGAGAAAGUUGUAAGGGGAGCCAAAACAAGAGAAGACAAAUUGCUAAUUGAAACAUUAACAGCAAGGGUUUCCUGAGUAUUCAUACAGUUAAACAUAUUGAAAAGUUCAGAGAUGUGUAAAAUGAACUAAGUAGCACCUGUGCAGGAUCAGUCGAGCUUGCACCCUCUCCGACAGCUUGUUUAUUAUCAAGCUCCAUAGUACCGGGUAGGGUUGGUGGUUGCGAAGGCCGCUGUGGCGGAGGUGGAGGUGGUGGCCGUAAUGUAUGACCUAACACAGGUUCUCUAGGAGGUGCGCCAGGAGGAGGUGGAGGUGGCGGAGGUAAGCCUGGUAAUGCUGCAUCACCAGCAGGCUUAGGUGGGGGCGGAGGUGGGGGUGGGGGUAAAGGUAAAGA